Molecule: long non-coding RNA, 2476 nt
Organism: Sparus aurata (gilthead seabream)
Lineage: Eukaryota; Metazoa; Chordata; Actinopteri; Spariformes; Sparidae
Source: Ensembl
UGGAAAAUGUGUGGGGGUGACACUAUGGCAUGUCACGCCACACCACCACACUUUGGAAUGUCACGUCACACCACCACACUCUGGCAUGUAACGUCACACCACCAGACUCUGGCAUGUCACGUCACACCACCAGACUCUGCCAUGUCACGUCACACCACCAGACUCUGCCAUGUCACGCCACACCACCACACUCUGCCAUGUCACGUCACACCACCACACUCUGGGUCACACCAUCAUGCUCCGGCAUGUCACGUCACACAACCACACUCUUGCAUGUCACAUCACACCAGCACACUCUGUCAUGUCACGUCACACGACCACACUCUGCCAUGUCACGUCACACCAGCACACUCUGGCAUGUCACAUCACACCACCAUACUCUGCCAUGUCACGCCACCCACUAAACUCUGCAAUGACACGUCACAACAACACACCCUUGUAUGUCACGUCGCAUCACCACACUCUGGCAUGUCACGCCACACCACCACACUCUGCCAUGUCACGUCACACCACCACACUCUGGGUCACACCAGCAUGCUCCGGCAUGUCACGUCACACAACCACACUCUUGCAUGUCACAUCACACCAGCACACUCUGUCAUGUCACGUCACACGACCACACUCUGCCAUGUCACGUCACACCAGCACACUCUGGCAUGUCACACCAGCACACUCUGGCAUGUCAAGUCACACCACCACACUCUGCUUUGUCAGGUCACACCAGCACACUCUGGCAUGUCACGUCACACCACCACACUCUGCCAUGUCACAUCACACCACCACACUCUGCCAUAUCACGUCACACCAACACAGUCUGGCAUGUCAAGUCACACCACCACAGUCUGGCAUGUCACGUCAUACCACCACACUCUGCCAUGUCACGUCACACCACCACACUCUGCUUUGUCAUGUCACACCACCACACUCUGGCAUUUCAUGUCACACCACCACACUCUGGCAUGUCACGUCAUACCACCACACUCUGCCAUGUCACGUCACACCACCACACUCUGCCAUGUCACGUCACACCACCACACUCUGGCAUAUCACGUCACACCAACACACUCUGGCAUGUGACUUUAGACCAGCACACUCUGGCAUGUCACGUCACACCACCGCACUCUGGCAUGUCACGUCACACCACCGCAAUCUUCCAUGUCAUGCCACCCACCAAACUCUGCAAUGAUACGUCACAACAACACACCCUUGCAUGUCACGUCGCAUCACCCCACUCUGGCAUGUCACGUCAUACCACCACACCCUUGCAUGCCACGUCACAACACCACACCCUGGCAUGUCACGUCACACAACCACACCCUGGCAUGUCACGUCACACCACCACACUCUGGGUCACUCCACCACACUCUGGCAUUGUCACGUUACACCAGCACACUCUGACAUGUCAAGUCACACCACCACACUCUGCUAUGUCACGUCACACCAGCACACUCUGGCAUGUCAGGUCACACCACCAUACUCUGGCAUGUCACCUCACACUCUGGCAUGUCAUGUCACUCUGGCAUGUCACACAAGUACACUCUGGCAUGUCAUGUCACACCACCACACCUUACUCUGGCUUGUCACAUUACACCACCACUCUCUGGCCUGUCACUUCACACCAUCAAACUCUGCAAUGUCACCUCAAACCAUCAAACUCAGCCGUGUCACUUCACAACACGACACUCUGGGUCACACCACCACACUUUGGCAUGUCACGUCAUACCACCACACUCUGCCAUGUCACGUCACACCACCACACUCUGCCAUGUCACAUCACACCACUACACUCUGCCAUGUCACAUUACACCGCACACUCUGACAUGUCAAGACACACCACCACACUCUGCCAUGUCACGUCACACUAGCACACUCUGUCAUGUCACGUCACAGCACCACACUCUGCCAUGUCACAUCACACCAGCACACUCUGGCAUAUCACAUCACGCUAACAUACUUUGCAAUGACAUGUCACACCAGCACACUUUGGCAUGUCACGCCACCCACCAAAGUCUGCAACGACACGUCAGAAAAACCACACCCUUGCAUGUGACGUCGCACCACCACACUCUGGCAUGUCACGUCACACCACCACACUCUGCCAUGUCACGUCACACCAACACACUCUGGCAUGUCACGUCACACCAGCACACUCUGGCAUGUGACGUUAGACCACCGCACUCUGGCAUGUCACGUCACACCACAGCACUCUGGCAUGUCACAUCACACCACCGCAGUCUUACAUGUAAUGCCACCCACCAAACUCUGCAAUGACACGUCAUAACAACACACCCUUGCAUAUCACGUCACAUCACCACACUCUGGCAUGUCACGUCACACCACCACACCCUGCCAUGUCGCGUCACACCAGCACACUCUGGCAUGUCUCAUCACACCGUACACUUUGACAUUUCAAGCCACACCAGCACACUCUGGCAUGUAACGUCACACCACCGCACUCUGGCAUGUCACGUCACAC